GCCCUUGUGGUACAGUGGUUAGGUGCUCAGCUGCUAAUCAAAAGGUUGGUGGUUCGAAUCCACCCAGUGGCU
RNAcentral lists this transfer RNA (72 nucleotides) under Loxodonta africana (African savanna elephant). It matches the Rfam family "tRNA". Rfam says of the family: Transfer RNA (tRNA) molecules are approximately 80 nucleotides in length. Their secondary structure includes four short double-helical elements and three loops (D, anti-codon, and T loops). Lineage: Eukaryota; Metazoa; Chordata; Mammalia; Proboscidea; Elephantidae. The record is from Rfam by way of RNAcentral.